CUUUAUCAGAACCUGUACCAUAACCCUUUAUUUUUCUCUCUCCAGGUUUAGACAGAGUCAGCCUGAUGGUGUCUAGCGCUAUUAUUCUUCUUGCCACUUAUGUAUGCCUCCUCACAGACUAUGAUAUCACAACUCAUUAAUCAGACAGCAGGCUGGCUUGAGUGAGAUCAGAGCAUGGGCCAAUGCCAGUGCUCCUUUUGUCUGAUUCAUCAGAUGGUAUUUCAUCCAGAACUGCAUCCUAGAAGCAUUAAGUGCUAUAAAGGAUUGGAGGCCUGAUCCUCUGGCAUGGGUUACCCAGAGAGCUGCGGACGUCUCACCUCUGGAG
This 325-nucleotide long non-coding RNA is filed under the name Coturnix japonica (Japanese quail). RNAcentral describes it as "lncRNA (ENSCJPG00005003169.1)". The record is from RNAcentral. Lineage: Eukaryota; Metazoa; Chordata; Aves; Galliformes; Phasianidae.